RNAcentral lists this ribosomal RNA (406 nucleotides) under uncultured bacterium. Its description in RNAcentral is "partial 16S ribosomal RNA". It matches the Rfam family "Bacterial small subunit ribosomal RNA", at positions 29 to 526 of the family's 1533-position model. The record is from RNAcentral.
AUUGAACGCUGGCGGCAGGCCUAACACAUGCAAGUCGAGCGAGCGGCGGACGGGUGAGUAAUGUCUGGGAAACUGCCUGAUGGAGGGGGAUAACUACUGGAAACGGUAGCUAAUACCGCAUCCCAUCAGAUGUGCCCAGAUGGGAUUAGCUAGUGGGUGGGGUAACGGCGCACCUAGGCGACGAUCCCUAGCUGGUCUGAGAGGAUGACCAGCCACACGGGAACUGAGACACGGCCCAGACUCCUACGGGAGGAAGCGUUGGGGAAUAUUGCACAAUGGGGGCAAGCCUGAGACAGCCAUGCCGCGGGUGUGAAGAAGGCCUUCGGGUUGUAAAGCACUUUCAGCGGGGAGGCGUUACCCGCAGAAGAAGCACCGGCUAACUCCGUGCCAGCAGCCGCGGUAAUUC